RNAcentral lists this ribosomal RNA (497 nucleotides) under uncultured bacterium. RNAcentral's name for it is "partial 16S ribosomal RNA". It matches the Rfam family "Bacterial small subunit ribosomal RNA", at positions 28 to 507 of the family's 1533-position model. The record is from RNAcentral.
GAUGAACGCUGGCGGCGUGCCUAAUACAUGCAAGUCGAGCGAACGGACGAGAAGCUUGCUUUUCUGAUGUUAGCGGCGGACGGGUGAGUAACACGUGGAUAACCUACCUAUAAGACUGGGAUAACUUCGGGAAACCGGAGCUAAUACCGGAUAAUAUUUUGAACCGCAUGGUUCAAAAGUGAAAGACGGUCUUGCUGUCACUUAUAGAUGGAUCCGCGCUGCAUUAGCUAGUUGGUAAGGUAACGGCUUACCAAGGCAACGAUGUAUAGCCGACCUGAGAGGGUGAUCGGCCACACUGGAACUGAGACACGGUCCAGACUCCUACGGGAGGCAGCAGUAGGGAAUCUUCCGCAAUGGGCGAAAGCCUGACGGAGCAACGCCGCGUGAGUGAUGAAGGUCUUCGGAUCGUAAAACUCUGUUAUUAGGGAAGAACAUAUGUGUAAGUAACUGUGCACAUCUUGACGGUACCUAAUCAGAAAGCCACGGCUAACUACGUG